AGUGGGGAACUUGUUGCUGGUGUAGCAGAUGAGCAUGCAGGUCUUGCCCACGGCGCCGUCGCCGACCGUGACGCACUUGAUGAACCGGGAGGCGCUGGACGCCAUGGCCGCGCGCGCCUCACCCCGAUUCUCCGAGCCCAGAGUAGGGGAGAACCGGGAGAGGAGCGGGGGGAGGAGACGGUACGGGAGAGGAGGGGGAGGGAGGGACGGACUGCGUUCUCGCCUUCUUGGUGGCGUUUGGUGCGUGACUUGUUGGCGGAUAGAGUGAAGAGAGUCACAUGC
RNAcentral lists this long non-coding RNA (282 nucleotides) under Setaria viridis. RNAcentral describes it as "long non-coding RNA (SVIR_LNC001106)". Lineage: Eukaryota; Viridiplantae; Streptophyta; Magnoliopsida; Poales; Poaceae. The record is from RNAcentral.